Molecule: microRNA precursor, 127 nt
Filed under: Myotis brandtii (Brandt's bat)
Lineage: Eukaryota; Metazoa; Chordata; Mammalia; Chiroptera; Vespertilionidae
Description: mir-9193 microRNA precursor family
Source: Rfam by way of RNAcentral
CGUGCACUGAUGGGGUCCCUCGGCCUGGCCUGUGGGGAUUGGGCUGAAAUUACUUCUCUGACAUCCCCCAAGUGGUCCCGGAUUGCAAGAGGGUGCAGGCCAGGCCGAGGGACCCCAUCGGUGCACG